GGUUAAGUGACUAAGCGUACACGGUGGAUGCCUUGGCAGUCAGAGGCGAUGAAAGACGUAGUAACUUGCGAUAAGCCCAGAUUAGGUAGUAACAACCAUUUGAGUCUGGGAUUUCUGAAUGGGGAAACCCACUUACAUAAGUAAGUAUCAUUAACUGAAUACAUAGGGUAAGGAGGCGAACCGGGGAACUGAAACAUCUAAGUACCCCGAGGAAAAGAAAUCAACCGAGAUUCCGAAAGUAGCGGCGAGCGAAAUUGGACUAGCCCUUAAGCUUUACACGCGUUAGACGAACGGUCUGGAAAGUCCGACGAUACAGGGUGAUAGUCCCGUAGUUGACGACGUGUGUUCAGUGAAAUCGAGUAGGGCGGGACACGUGAUAUCCUGUCUGAAUAUGGGGGACCAUCCUCCAAGGCUAAAUACUACUGACUGACCGAUAGUGAACCAGUACCGUGAGGGAAAGGCGAAAAGAACCCCUGUGAGGGGAGUGAAAUAGAACCUGAAACCGUGUACGUACAAGCAGUAGGAGCAGCCUUCGUGGUGUGACUGCGUACCUUUUGUAUAAUGGGUCAGCGACUUAUAUUCAGUGGCAAGGUUAACCAUCUAGGGGAGCCGUAGGGAAACCGAGUCUUAACUGGGCGUUCAGUCUCUGGAUAUAGACCCGAAACCAGGUGAUCUAGCCAUGGGCAGGUUGAAGGUUGAGUAACAUCAACUGGAGGACCGAACCGACUAAUGUUGAAAAAUUAGCGGAUGACUUGUGGCUAGGGGUGAAAGGCCAAUCAAACCUGGAGAUAGCUGGUUCUCCCCGAAAGCUAUUUAGGUAGCGCCUCGGACGAAUACUACUGGGGGUAGAGCACUGUUAAGGCUAGGGGUCAUCCCGACUUACCAACCCUUUGCAAACUCCGAAUACCAGUAAGUACUAUCCGGGAGACACACGGCGGGUGCUAACGUCCGUCGUGGAGAGGAAACAACCCAGACCGCCAGCUAAGGUCCCAAAUUACUACUAAGUGGGAAACGAUGUGGGAAGGCUCAGACAGCCAGGAUGUUGGCUUAGAAGCAGCCAUCAUUUAAAGAAAGCGUAAUAGCUCACUGGUCGAGUCGGCCUGCGCGGAAGAUGUAACGGGGCUAAGUAGUAAACCGAAGCUGCGGCAAUAUACUUUUGUAUAUUGGGUAGGGGAGCGUUCUGUAAGCGGUUGAAGGUGUGUGGUAACGCAUGCUGGACGUAUCAGAAGUGCGAAUGCUGACAUGAGUAACGAUAAAGGGGUGAAAAACCUCCUCGCCGGAAGACCAAGGGUUCCUGUCCAACGUUAAUCGGGGCAGGGUAAGUCGACCCCUAAGGCGAGGCCGAAAGGCGUAGUCGAUGGGAAACGGGUUAAUAUUCCCGUACUUCUUACAAUUGCGAUGGGGGGACGGAGAAGGCUAGGUGGGCCUGGCGACGGUUGUCCAGGUUCAAGUGCGUAGGCUUAAGAGUUAGGUAAAUCCGGCUCUUUUUAAGGCUGAGACACGACGUCGAGCACCUACGGGUGUGAAGUCAUUGAUGCCAUGCUUCCAGGAAAAGCCUCUAAGCUUCAGAUUGUAAGGAAUCGUACCCCAAACCGACACAGGUGGUCGGGUAGAGAAUACCAAGGCGCUUGAGAGAACUCGGGUGAAGGAACUAGGCAAAAUGGUACCGUAACUUCGGGAGAAGGUACGCUCUUGAUGGUGAAGUCCCUCGCGGAUGGAGCUGACGAGAGUCGCAGAUACCAGGUGGCUGCAACUGUUUAUUAAAAACACAGCACUGUGCAAAAUCGUAAGAUGACGUAUACGGUGUGACGCCUGCCCGGUGCCGGAAGGUUAAUUGAUGGGGUUAGACUUCGGUCGAAGCUCUUGAUCGAAGCCCCGGUAAACGGCGGCCGUAACUAUAACGGUCCUAAGGUAGCGAAAUUCCUUGUCGGGUAAGUUCCGACCUGCACGAAUGGCGUAAUGAUGGCCACGCUGUCUCCACCCGAGACUCAGUGAAAUUGAAAUCGCUGUGAAGAUGCAGUGUACCCGCGGCUAGACGGAAAGACCCCGUGAACCUUUACUACAGCUUGGCACUGAACAUUGACCCUACAUGUGUAGGAUAGGUGGGAGGCUUUGAAGCACGUACGCCAGUAUGUGUGGAGCCGUCCUUGAAAUACCACCCUUGUAGUGUUGAUGUUCUAACGUCGACCCCUAAUCGGGGUUGCGGACAGUGCCUGGUGGGUAGUUUGACUGGGGCGGUCUCCUCCCAAAGAGUAACGGAGGAGCACGAAGGUGGGCUAAUCACGGUUGGACAUCGUGAGGUUAGUGCAAUGGCAUAAGCCCGCUUGACUGCGAGAAUGACAAUUCGAGCAGGUGCGAAAGCAGGUCAUAGUGAUCCGGUGGUUCUGAAUGGAAGGGCCAUCGCUCAACGGAUAAAAGGUACUCCGGGGAUAACAGGCUGAUACCGCCCAAGAGUUCAUAUCGACGGCGGUGUUUGGCACCUCGAUGUCGGCUCAUCACAUCCUGGGGCUGAAGUCGGUCCCAAGGGUAUGGCUGUUCGCCAUUUAAAGUGGUACGCGAGCUGGGUUUAGAACGUCGUGAGACAGUUCGGUCCCUAUCUGCCGUGGGCGUUGGAAGAUUGAAGGGGCUGCUCCUAGUACGAGAGGACCGGAGUGGACGAACCUCUGGUGUUCGGGUUGUGUCGCCAGACGCAUUGCCCGGUAGCUAAGUUCGGAAUCGAUAACCGCUGAAAGCAUCUAAGCGGGAAGCGAGCCCUGAGAUGAGUCUUCCCUGAUACUUUAAGUAUCCUAAAGGGUUGUCGGAGACUACGACGUUGAUAGGUCAGGUGUGUAAGUGCUGUGAGGCAUUGAGCUAACUGAUACUAAUUGCCCGUGAGGCUUAACCAU
Molecule: ribosomal RNA, 2885 nt
Filed under: Vibrio parahaemolyticus
Lineage: Bacteria; Pseudomonadati; Pseudomonadota; Gammaproteobacteria; Vibrionales; Vibrionaceae
Description: 23S ribosomal RNA
Rfam family: Bacterial large subunit ribosomal RNA
Source: RNAcentral